AGAAUCAACGCUGGCGGCGUGCCUAACACAUGCAAGUCGCACGAGAAAGUGGAGCAAUCCACGAGUACAGUGGCGCACGGUGAGUAACACGUGACUUAUCUACCUCCGAGUGGGGAAUAACUGAGAGAAAUCUUAGCUAAUACCGCAUAACACUUACGAGUCAAAGCAGCAAUGCGCUUGGAGAGGAGGUCGCGGCCGAUUAGCUAGUUGGCGGGUAAUGGCCACCAAGGCGAUGAUCGGUA
This 242-nucleotide ribosomal RNA is filed under the name uncultured bacterium. RNAcentral describes it as "partial small subunit ribosomal RNA". It matches the Rfam family "Bacterial small subunit ribosomal RNA", at positions 26 to 285 of the family's 1533-position model. The record is from RNAcentral.